RNAcentral lists this ribosomal RNA (253 nucleotides) under uncultured bacterium. RNAcentral's name for it is "partial 16S ribosomal RNA". It matches the Rfam family "Bacterial small subunit ribosomal RNA", at positions 524 to 776 of the family's 1533-position model. The record is from RNAcentral.
UACGGAGGGGGCUAGCGUUGUUCGGAAUUACUGGGCGUAAAGCGCGCGUAGGCGGACCUGCAAGUCGGGGGUGAAAGCCCGAGGCUCAACCUCGGAACUGCCUUCGAUACUGCGGGUCUCGAGUCCGGGAGAGGUAAGUGGAAUUCCGAGUGUAGAGGUGAAAUUCGUAGAUAUUCGGAAGAACACCAGUGGCGAAGGCGACUUACUGGACACAUAUUGACGCUGAGGCUCGAAAGCAUGGGGAGCAAACAGG